RNAcentral lists this ribosomal RNA (638 nucleotides) under Hepatozoon canis. Its description in RNAcentral is "bacterial SSU rRNA". It matches the Rfam family "Eukaryotic small subunit ribosomal RNA", at positions 197 to 823 of the family's 1831-position model. The record is from RNAcentral. Lineage: Eukaryota; Apicomplexa; Hepatozoidae.
GAGGAAGCAUUUAUUAGAUAAAAAGCCAAUGCAUGCUUUUACAGUAUGAAAAUUGGUGAUUUAUAAUAACUUAGCAAAUCGUAAAGUGAAAACAGACGAUAAAUCAUUCAAGUUUCUGACCUAUCAGCUUUCGACGGUAUGGUAUUGGCUUACCGUGGCAGUGACGGUUAACGGGGGAUUAGGGUUCGAUUCCGGAGAGGGAGCCUGAGAAACGGCUACCACAUCUAAGGAAGGCAGCAGGCGCGCAAAUUACCCAAUUCUAACAGUUUGAGAGAGGUAGUAACAAGAAAUAACAAUACAAGGCAGUUAAAAUGCUUUGUAAUUGGAAUGAUAGAAAUUUAAACCCUUUUUAAAGUAUCAAUUGGAGGGCAAGUCUGGUGCCAGCAGCCGCGGUAAUUCCAGCUCCAAUAGCGUAUAUUAAAAUUGUUGCAGUUAAAAAGCUCGUAGUUGAAGUUCUGCUAAAAGUAACCGGUCUGCUUUUAAUAAAAGUGGUAUCUUGGUAUGUAUUUAGCAAUGAUGUCCUUUGAAGUGUUUUUUACUUUAUUGUAAUAAAGCAUAUUCAGGACUUUUACUUUGAGAAAAUUAGAGUGUUUCUAGCAGGCCGACGCUUUGAAUACUGCAGCAUGGAAUAAAUAAGA